GCCGGGUGUGGUGGCGCACACCUGUAAUCCCAGCUGUUCAGGAGGCUGAGGCAGGAGAAUUGCUUGAACCUGGGAGGCAGAGGUUGCAGCGAGCCCAAGAUCACGCCACUGCACUCCAGCCUGGGUAACAGAGCAACAUUCUGUCUCAA
Molecule: small RNA, 149 nt
Filed under: Papio anubis (olive baboon)
Lineage: Eukaryota; Metazoa; Chordata; Mammalia; Primates; Cercopithecidae
Description: Metazoan signal recognition particle RNA (ENSPANG00000039485.1)
Source: Rfam by way of RNAcentral